UACGAAGGGGGCGAGCGUUAUUCGGAAUAACUGGGCGUAAAGAGCGUGUAGGUGGUUUUGUAAGUUGAGUGUUAAAGAUCACGGCCUAACCGUGAAAAUGCAUUCAAAACUGCAGGACUAGAGGAUAGGAGGGAGGAGUGGAAUUCUUGGAGUAGCGGUAAAAUGCGUAGAUCUCAAGAGGAACACCGAUGGCGAAGGCAGCUCCUUGGCCUAUUCCUGACACUGAAAUGCGAAAGCGUGGGGAGCAAACAGG
This 253-nucleotide ribosomal RNA is filed under the name uncultured bacterium. RNAcentral describes it as "partial 16S ribosomal RNA". It matches the Rfam family "Bacterial small subunit ribosomal RNA", at positions 524 to 776 of the family's 1533-position model. The record is from RNAcentral.